RNAcentral lists this ribosomal RNA (124 nucleotides) under Microbacteriaceae bacterium. Its description in RNAcentral is "partial 16S ribosomal RNA". It matches the Rfam family "Bacterial small subunit ribosomal RNA", at positions 368 to 504 of the family's 1533-position model. Lineage: Bacteria; Bacillati; Actinomycetota; Actinomycetes; Micrococcales; Microbacteriaceae. The record is from RNAcentral.
ACAAUGGGCGAAAGCCUGAUGCAGCAACGCCGCGUGAGGGAUGACGGCCUUCGGGUUGUAAACCUCUUUUAGCAGGGAAGAAGCGAAAGUGACGGUACCUGCAGAAAAAGCGCCGGCUAACUAC